RNAcentral lists this ribosomal RNA (428 nucleotides) under uncultured bacterium. RNAcentral's name for it is "bacterial SSU rRNA". It matches the Rfam family "Bacterial small subunit ribosomal RNA", at positions 29 to 458 of the family's 1533-position model. The record is from RNAcentral.
AUUGAACGCUGGCGGCAUGCCUUACACAUGCAAGUCGAACGGCAGCACGGGGGCAACCCUGGUGGCGAGUGGCGAACGGGUGAGUAACAUAUCGGAACGUGCCCUGGAGUGGGGGAUAACUAGUCGAAAGACUAGCUAAUACCGCAUACGAUCUACGGAUGAAAGUGGGGGACCGCAAGGCCUCAUGCUCGUGGAGCGGCCGAUAUCUGAUUAGCUAGUUGGUGGGGUAAAGGCCUACCAAGGCAUCGAUCAGUAGCUGGUCUGAGAGGACGACCAGCCACACUGGGACUGAGACACGGCCCAGACUCCUACGGGAGGCAGCAGUGGGGAAUUUUGCUCAAUGGGCGCAAGCCUGAAGCAGCGACGCCGCGUGGGCGAUGAAGGUUUUCGGAUCGUAAAGCCCUCUUCUCUGGGACGAGACAGGACGG